Molecule: long non-coding RNA, 2252 nt
Filed under: Marmota monax (woodchuck)
Lineage: Eukaryota; Metazoa; Chordata; Mammalia; Rodentia; Sciuridae
Source: RNAcentral
GGUAGGGUGUGGCUGGAGGAGGUGGGAAUUGAAAUGUGGCUUUAGAUAUAUAUUUGUAUCUGCCAAGUGGAGUCUCUCUCUCACUCGCUCACUCUCUCUCUCUCUCUCUCUCCCCCCCCCCUUUCUGAUCAACAUGUGAGCUGUUUCCCUCUGCACAUUUUUACUCUAUCAAUACAGAGGAGGGCAAAUGGGCGAACUGAGUGCCUUAAAAUGGCUACAGGAAUGUGCUCCAGAUGCUCAAGGCAACAUCCAAGCCCAUGCCCAGGCCCAGUUCCCCAGCACACACUCAGGGGGGAACCCCAGUAAAAUGAAGACCUCCAAAAUAUAAAGAGAUAUCAAGAACCUCUCAUAACAGGCCUAAAAGCUGGGAAGGAGAGCCCUAAACAUGACCAAGGUGUCAGAAGUUCUCCAAAAGCCUGAAGAAAGCCCCAGCCAGGUCUAUGGACAACUUUCUGAAGCCUCUGACUCUUCACUCCCUUGGAUCCUGAGGCACAAGACAACCAGCAGGUGGACAACACAACCAUUGUGGGACAGGCACAGAGUAACAGUCACCCAAACUACAAAAUACUAGGGGUUUUUCUGGGAAGAAUGCCAAUGAGCUAUUUGAAGUGGCAGCCACCGUGUUUGUCAAUCAAGACCAAGAGACCCAGCAAGAAGCAGACUGAAAGAUGAAGAAGAUGGUUUCUCCUUGCAGCUUCCCUUACUACAGACCCAGAAGUCACCCAAAGGGGUUCCCACCAGGACCAAACCAAAACAAAUAUCAAAAUCAAGGUCAGAUGCAUGGCAGAAGGAUGGUCUGGGUCAGCCUCCUCACCCUGAGUCUACUGAGACUAAACUAAUACAUUUACUGCCAUCUAGAGGGUCACUGGAAAAAUGAAUGCCCCAAACUGAAGAAAGCCAACCGAGUUCCUGCUACUCCUUACCAGGAUAAGAGAGGCCAAGUCCUUCAAGGAUGAUGCCAGUCCUAUAAAUGUGUCCCCCAUAACGCUCAAUGCCACAGGCACCCCUAUGAUGCCCAUGAGAAAAUUUUUGUGGGACUGGAAGUCAUGGAAAUUAUGAUGAGGACUAUGACUGACUGGGCUCCAUCCCUUUGGGCCCCCAGAAGCCUGAGGUCGAAAUGCUCCUAGGGGACUAACCUAUGAACUUGAUGAUGGACACUGCAGCUCACCAUUUGGUUGUGACCCAACGUUUGGACCCACUUUCCAAGAAAGGGACCACAAUUUGGGGGCCCCAGGCAAUAAAGCUCAUCAUCCUUUUCUGUUACCACACAUUUCAAUUUAGCAGGCCAUAAAGUAGUCCACGAGAUCCUGUACAUGCCAGAUUGCCCAGUGCAUUGAUGGGUUGAGUCCUGGUAGAAAAUCUCCAAGCCCAGAUAAUUGUUGAUGCAAAAGGCCAGUUAAUUAUAGUCCUCAUCAUAAUUGGGAAAACCUAAGCAAAUAUUUUGCCCUCACAAUUCCCUGGGAAGAGGAGUGGCACCUCUUCAGUCUAGUAGAAACAUUACAACAGGAACCAGACAUCUCUUUCCAAGCACAAGGAGUAUGGACAGAGGCCAACCCACCUGGACUAGCCCAAAAUUUUUCCCAGUGGUGAUGGAAUUAAAACCUGAAGCCAUACCUGUACACUGAGAUGACAUCAUAUUCCUUAUAAGACAACACUUGGAAUUCAAAAACAUUUGGACACACUUUUACACUAUGGAAUUCUCAGAACUCACCAAUCACCAUGAAAUACACCUCUUUUGCCUGUCCAGAACCAGGAACUGAUGAUUAUUGGCCAGCCCCAGAUUUACAUGCAGAAAAUCAAGCCAGAGUCACCUUACAUCCUGUGGUCCCCAAUCCACAUAAUCUCCUAAGUCUGCCCCCAGCUGAGGCGGGCUACUUCACAUGUCUGGACCUUAAAGAUGCCUUCUUCUGCAUGCAAUUAGUACCGAAGAGUCAGCCACCCUUUGCCUUCCAAUGAGAAGACUCCAAUGGGAACAAGGGCCAAUUGACCUGGACUAGGUUACCACAAGGUUUCAAAAAUCCACCAACCAUCUUUGGGAUGGUGCUGGCCUCUGACUUAAAAGCCUUUCCUGCAAAACAAUGUGGAUGCACUUUGUUCCAAUAUGUAGAUGAUCUGUUCCUGUCUGGAGCAACCAGAGAAGACGGCAUAAAAAGAACACAGCUGCUUCCCACUCUCCUAUGUAAGGCUGGUUACAAAGUUUCACAAAAGAAAGCCCAGAUCUGUCAAGAAAAGUAAAGAACCUUGGUUUCUGU